Molecule: ribosomal RNA, 376 nt
Filed under: Metapenaeopsis andamanensis
Lineage: Eukaryota; Metazoa; Arthropoda; Malacostraca; Decapoda; Penaeidae
Description: partial 16S ribosomal RNA
Rfam family: Bacterial large subunit ribosomal RNA
Source: RNAcentral
UAGUCUUUUAAUUGGAGGCUUGUAUGAAUGGUUGGACAAAAAGUAAGCUGUCUCAGUUAUAUUAUUUGAAUUUAACUUUUAAGUGAAAAGGCUUAAAUGAACUAGAGGGACGAUAAGACCCUAUAAAGCUUUACAAUUAUUUAAUUAGAUUAUAAAUUGUUGGUAUAACUUGAUUUAAUUAAUAUUUGUUUCGUUGGGGCGACGAGAAUAAAAUUAAAAUAACUGUUCUUUUAUUAGUAGUUACAAAUUUGUUUGGUUAAAAAUUGAUCCUUUAUUAGAGAUCAAAAGAUUAAGUUACUUUAGGGAUAACAGCGUAAUUCUCUUUGAGAGUCCAUAUCGACAAGAGGGGUUGCGACCUCGAUGUUGAAUUAAAGUA